Molecule: ribosomal RNA, 309 nt
Filed under: uncultured eukaryote
Lineage: Eukaryota
Description: partial 18S ribosomal RNA
Rfam family: Eukaryotic small subunit ribosomal RNA
Source: RNAcentral
CCCCUAGAUGUUCUGGGCGGCCCGCGCACUACAUUGGCACUGGCAACAAGAUCCUAGAUCUGGUAUUUCGGGGUAUUCUACCAACUGGUGUCGUGACUGGGAUUAACCCCUGCAAUUGUUGGUUAUGAACGAGGAAUUCCUUGUAAUCACGGUUUAUCAACCCGUGUUGAAUGCGUCCCUGCCCUUUGUACACACCGCCCGUCGCUCCUACCGAUGAAUCGUCCGGUGAAGUUCAUGGAGUCGCGGCUGCUCCAGCUGUUUUCGAAGUGAAAUAGACCUCAUGAUUUAGAGGAAGGAGAAGUCGUANCA